CACCUCGGCUUGGUACUGCUUUAGACUUAGUUUCUCUGUUUUCCUGCCGUCCGGAUGUGAGAACUCUCCAUGACAACACAGAUAUUUCCCGUAUCACACACUCAUCGGAA
Caenorhabditis elegans is the source of this 110-nucleotide non-coding RNA. The record is from Ensembl. Lineage: Eukaryota; Metazoa; Nematoda; Chromadorea; Rhabditida; Rhabditidae.